AAAAAUCAUCAACCUACUCCCCACAAAAAUCAAAAUCUGAAUUUGAAAUCAUUCCACUCCCAUAAAAAAUCAAAAUCCUAACUUGUUUUUGCUCCUUUUGUGAACUGUUUUAGACCUCUUUCUUGGAUUUGGAUUUGGAUCGGAAGAAAAGAAGAAAUAUGGUUGGAUUGAGUUAAAAAAAUCCCAACUUGCACACUACCCAUUUUUUUCAAUCCAAUUAUUACUCCUCCCAAACCAAACAUCCCAACGAUAUCCACAGAGGAAGAUAGCAUGGGAUAUUGAUUGAUGGGGAAAAAAGAAAAUCAAAGUGUGAGUAUGGCUUAUGUUUGGUGGAUUGCGGAUUGUGUUUAAUUUUCGUGGGUUUGAUUUUUUACUGGGAUUCUAGGUUUUGAUGGAGGAGAACUUUAAAAACCAAAUUGGUUUUGAGUGUGAAUGAAACUCAGAUCUAAUUUUUAGGAUGUUUUUG
Molecule: long non-coding RNA, 466 nt
Filed under: Medicago truncatula (barrel medic)
Lineage: Eukaryota; Viridiplantae; Streptophyta; Magnoliopsida; Fabales; Fabaceae
Description: long non-coding RNA (MTRU_LNC003163)
Source: RNAcentral